GGGUUUCGAUUUGAGCCAGGUAUUGAAGAUCAAAUUGUGUAUGGUGAUAUAAUGAAAAGACUGGGGGAUCAACAGUUCCUCUUUUGCUUGUUUAAUCAGAUCUGGAGGAUUCAACAACGUCUAUCUGACGAGUUUCCUUCUAUUCCCUCGCUGCUGCUCACCAUCGUCGGGAUGAAGCAUCCGACCGCCUCUUCCGCCAGUCGGGAGCAAAUCGACUCUGCAAACAAAUGAGAGAAUCAGAAAAUGAUUAAGAAAGUUCGCCGAUGAUUACUGUGAUUAGGGAUAAUUACAGAGAGGGUUAAGGAAUUUUAUUUCAAUGGUAUGAUAAUGUUCUGUUGUGGUUUUGAGAAAACAGGGGUUGAAAUUGCAGAAUCUUUUUCGCGAAUUGGUUGUCGCUAAUCCAGGGAAGAAAAUAAUGAGAUAAGAUCGUGGAUUAUUAGUUGAGAUUAAGUUAAGGAAAGUUUGGGGUUUCUUAGUUGGGAUUAAGUCUGUCGGCUUCUCCGCCUCCGCCUCCGCUGUCG
This 521-nucleotide long non-coding RNA is filed under the name Linum usitatissimum (flax). RNAcentral describes it as "long non-coding RNA (LUSI_LNC003853)". The record is from RNAcentral. Lineage: Eukaryota; Viridiplantae; Streptophyta; Magnoliopsida; Malpighiales; Linaceae.